UCCUGGCUCAGGAUGAACGCUGGCGGCGUGCUUAACACAUGCAAGUCGAACGAAGCACUUUAUUUGAUUUCCUUCGGACGGAUCUGAUUUAACUUAGUGGCGGACGGGUGAGUAAUGCGUGAGCAACCUGCCCUUCAGAGGGGGACAACAGUUGGAAACGACUGCUAAUACCGCAUAAUGUAUCCGGGAGGCAUCUCCUGGAUACCAAAGGAGAAAUCCGCUGAUGGAUGGGCUCACGUCUGAUUAGCUAGUUGGUGAGGUAACGGCUCACCAAGGCUGCGAUCAGUAGCCGGACUGAGAGGUUGAACGGCCACAUUGGGACUGAGAUACGGCCCAGACUCCUACGGGAGGCAGCAGUGGGGAAUAUUGGGCAAUGGGCGAAAGCCUGACCCAGCAACGCCGCGUGAAGGAAGAAGGCCUUCGGGUUGUAAACUUCUUUUAAGAGGGACGAAGAAGUGACGGUACCUCUUGAAUAAGCCACGGCUAACUACGUG
Molecule: ribosomal RNA, 494 nt
Filed under: uncultured bacterium
Lineage: Bacteria
Description: bacterial SSU rRNA
Rfam family: Bacterial small subunit ribosomal RNA
Source: RNAcentral